GCUGCAUCGUUGUGUUAGAUUCUUCAGAAUAUAAGCGCAACUACAAUUAGCAAACUCGAAUAGACUUUGAGCGAACAAGAAGGAAAGAGUAUGCUUCCUUUGAAUCUUACUUGUUGAAUGUAAUUGUCACAAAUUUGAGUUUGGUUUAUGCAUGCGAGUUCAUAACUUACUGUUAGCAUCAUGUGUCGAGUAAAUGUAACAAGAGAGAUGGCGGUACUUACAGAGCCGAGCUGAGUGGAGAACCUGAUGAGGUUGAGAUUGUAGGGAUCGCAGGCCAGGUACAAGUUCUUCACCAUGAUGGCCCCCGAAUCCUUGUCGGCCUUCGGUCUCUCCGAGCUCGUCCUCACUUCCAAGUGGGUCUCCUUCAGGGAACCUUGUACCUUCUCUCUGUAUAUCACCUGUUUGUUGCUCAUAACUUCCACUGAAGCAUUGCUGUUCUCCUUCUCCAUUCUCUCUCUCUCUCUCUCUCUCUCUCUCUCUNNNNNNNNNNNNNNNNNNNNNNNNNNNNNNNNNNNNNNNNNNNNNNNNNNNNNNNNNNNNNNNNNNNNNNNNNNNNNNNNNNNNNNNNNNNNNNNNNNNNNNNNNNNNNNNNNNNNNNNNNNNNNNNNNNNNNNNNNNNNNNNNNNNNNNNNNNNNNNNNNNNNNNNNNNNNNNNNNNNNNNNNNNNNNNNNNNNNNNNNNNNNNNNNNNNNNNNNNNNNUAAACAAUAUAUUAUUAUAUUUGCUAAUCUUAGUUAAUUCAACAAGGAAACUAGAUAAUAAAAAAAAAAAAAAACGAUAGAUGCGAUGAAAUGAAGGUUUUGUUUUCUUAUUUUAUUUAAGGAAUAAUAUAACCAUCGUUCCUUUAUUUUUGUCCGAAAAUCAAAAUCAAAAUCAUCCUUCUUUCUUUCUCUUUAAGAAAGAAAAAAAAAACGUCCCUCUACUUUUUAGAAAAUGUUGACGUGCGGUCCUUCCAUUGUAAUGUUUCCCUUACUGAUCGAUUUUUGUUGACAUGGAUUCAAAAUUAAUGAUAUAGACGCUAGUGAAUAUACGUGUCACCCUGAAAUAUAUGUCAUGUCAUGAUUUAUUGAAAAUUAUUAUAAGUAAAAAAGGCACCACAUCAAAUAAUAUUAAACAACAGAAAAACCAAAGUUGAGAGAGAGAAAGAGAUGGAGGAUCAUCGUCGUAGCCUUGAGCUCAAGCUCUAAGCUUGCAACAACCAUGGUCGCGACGGCCACAACCACUAGAGUUUCAAAUUGUGAAGCUCGAGAUCAUGGCUGCUCAAGAUAAGCUCACGGUCAUGUUGGCUCAAUUGGUGGUCGUAAAUGGUUACAAAUCAUAGCUUUUGUAUUAUUAUGGAUGUUUUGUGGGUUUUCUUCAAGUUUAUCAUUUCUAUUAUUUUAUUUUUAUUAUACUCAAAUUUAAGAAAUUUUACUUUGAGGGAUUAAAGGAAAUCCGAGAUUUCACUCCAAAUUUCCCAAAGAAAUAGGAUGAACAAUUUAUCUUGUUCCCUUUACUUGUACUAUUAACUUAUUUGUUAUUUCAAAGAACUUUUUAUAACACUUUAUGCUUCAUAUUUGAUGAAGUGGCACGUCACAUAAUGCUCAAGCAUGUAUAAAUUACUCCACCUUUCACCUGCCCUUAAAACCUACCUUAAUACUUUUUCUUUAAAAAAAGUACACCCCAAGUGUUAAAAUUUGGCAUAAAAUGACAUUUUAGUGCCAAAAAUUAAGAAAAUGCCAUUUUUUGAAAUGUGAGAUUGCCAUCUACGAUUAACCUUGCCAGCAAUCCUACAUGGCAAUUUUUUAUUAUUUUUCUUGCCUACAUGGCUCACCGGAGAGCAGACUCAAUAAAGAAACGCAAAAAUGACAUCAUUUUGACGCGGAUUUGAAUUUUAAUAUAAAAUUUAAUUUAAUGAAUCUAUAAAUAAAUUAUAUAUAUAUAUAUAUAUAUAUAUAUAUAUAUAAGGGGGUGAAAAGAAGAAGGUAGCUGAAGGUUGAGCCCUUACUGCCGCCUUCUCCCUGCCGUCACUUGGAACAGCCAACAAAAGUGGGAGUAGGGUUGGCUGGGAUCGCCGGGCCUUGGCUAGGGGUUAGCGACCCCGACUGACCCUUGCCCAAAUCUUUUGCAAGGGUCGCCACCCUUCCCCAGAUCUGGCGAGAGUCUAUAGCUCUCACAUGCAUAUACGGCGAGGGUCACCGNNNNNNNNNNNNNNNNNNNNNNNNNNNNNNNNNNNNNNNNNNNNNNNNNNNNNNNNNNNNNNNNNNNNNNNNNNNNNNNNNNNNNNNNNNNNNNNNNNNNAAAGGAUAGGAAUUUGCUAAACAUUCUCUUUAUAUUUCAAGAACCAUAAUUCUCUAGAAAUCUACAUGGAAGAAAAGGAAGUGCCAGAUACCUGGAGUGUCAAAACUUGGCACAGGGGGAUACUGAAGUGCCAAAAUUGGAGCAAAAUUGAUCACUUAGGGCGCGUUUGAUUGUGUUUCUGUUUAAAAAUUGUUCCAGGGAACAGAAAUAGAAAAAAGUAUUUCUGUUCCGGGGAACAAUUUUUGAACAAAAAUACGCGUUUGGUAAACUUGUUCCGGGAAUAAAAAAUAAACAGAAACAUGUUUGGUAAAUUUGGAUAAUUUUUUUAUUUCUUUUAUUUUUUCUAUUUUUUUCUUAUUUUUCCUUUUUUUCUUUUUUCUUUUUCAUUUUUUUUUUCUUCUUUUGGCCGGUCGCCGGCCAAGGCCUUGGCCGGCGACCGGCCAAAAGAAGAAAAAAAAAAUGAAAAAGAAAAAAGAAAAAAAGGAAAAAUAAGAAAAAAAUAGAAAAAAUAAAAGAAAUAAAAAAAUUAUCCAAAUUUACCAAACAUGUUUCUGUUUAUUUUUUAUUCCCGGAACAAGUUUACCAAACGCGUAUUUUUGUUCAAAAAUUGUUCCCCGGAACAGAAAUACUUUUUUCUAUUUCUGUUCCCUGGAACAAUUUUUAAACAGAAACACAAUCAAACGCGCCCUAAGUGAUCAAUUUUGCUCCAAUUUUGGCACUUCAGUAUCCCCCUGUGCCAAGUUUUGACACUCCAGGUAUCUGGCACUUCUUUUUCUUUCAUGUAGAUUUCUAGAGAAUUAUGGUUCUUGAAAUAUAAAGAGAAUGUUUAGCAAAUUCCUAUCCUUUCCAGCAAUUAAAAAACCAUUUGCAUUUCUGAAAAUUACGUUAGAACUUUAGCUGAAGAAUUUUACCUUUUUUUUUGUCCUUUUUAGGAAGCUUUAGCCUUCUCUCUGACUCGUGAAGUGGAAAAACCGGAUCCGACCCCCAAAAAGAAAAAAUAAAAAGUGGAAAAACCGGCAACUCAAGUUUGUGGGUUACUCGAUUUAAAUUGUGCGAUGGAAGACAACCCAUCACUUGAUUGCGGAUAACGGUGCCGUUAUGCUCACUUUCCUCAUUCCAAUUCCAUUUCUCUCUUCAAUUUGUAAUUGUUAUUGUCGUUGUCCUCGGUGAAUUUUAAUUCUUACUUUUGCUUUUCCCUUGUUGAUAUAUUAUUCUGGACACUCUUCUCGCACUUCUUAAUUAACUCUUUUUGAAUUUUUGGCAUUCCUCUCAAUUAUUAAAUUAACUCUUUCUUCAAAAUUAUCAUACAUUUUCAAUUAACGAAAAUAUAUAUAUUUUUUGCAUGAAAAAAUUCUUGUCUUUUUUUCAAUUUUUGUUUUCUUUUGUUUGGAAGAGUUUAUUUGAGUAAAUAUAAUAUUAGCUACUUCAAACUUUAAAUUUGAUUACUUACUGUCCAAUUCAUUUUCUUCAUGCAUUUUUUCUGUCUCAUUUGAAGUGCUAUACUUGCUUUUUAUAUUCUUCUUCUUUCUUUCCUUUCUUUUCUAUACUUGAUUUUAUAAACUAAAGGGACUCGGUCAAACCCCAAAUGUUACACUAAUCAAAUAAUUUAUAUUUGUGUGUUUUCACUGUGUUGAUCUUUUCCUAUGUUCUAUUUGUUAUUAUUAUAUAUUUCUUUUCUAAUUAUUAUAUUUUUUUUUUCUAAUGAGUGUUUCUCAUUCGCAUAUGAUUAUCACAAGAAAAAAAAAUCAAUUUCAUUCCUUCUCAUAAGAGUCAAACAAUAAAUAUUCAAACCGUGUUUAAGGAAAUGUUAGAUUAUAUCUCGACUUGGGAACCAUGUGAGGAAUAUCAAGAAAUAUAUUUUCUUAUUGGGUUCGGAUUCAUCGGACGAUGUAGUUUGCUCGAUUGGCUUCCGACGAAGGAGCCACAAGGUUAUUGGCUUAUUCAGUUUUGGUCAAAGAAGAUGUGUGGUUGUUUGACUCCUAUGCGCAGCCGCACGACAGUGAGAGCCACUACAGGACAAAAUAAAGGGGUCGCAUAUUCUCUAAUUAUAUAUUUAUUUCGGGGGUAAAAAGAUUUUUGUCUGAGGAAACAGCCCGUGGGCUCUCGAGCAGAACGUAGACUUUGGGGGUGUUUGGUUCAGCUUUCCCAAGGGGCUUUGAGCCUCGAAAGCCCCUUGGGAAAAAUUAGAGGGUGUUUGGUUCGGCUUUCAAAUGCUCCUUGGUGAAAUGUUUGCCUUUGGAAUGCUGAAUGCCGAAUGCUGGGGGGGACCAGCUUUGAGCAUUGGGCAUUCUGGAGAUGCGAUAUUACUGUUCAUCGCGUCACUGUUCAUCGUCUCCUCCGCCGUUCGCCUUCUUCUUCGCCAUUCAUCUUCUUCUUUGCCAAAGGCAGCGCUCAGCCGCGAUCUGGCCGUCGAGAAGCCUCGCCUGAGGUCGCACAACCUUAGGCGAGGUGGCCUGAGGUCGGGCAACCUCAGGCGGCGUCGCCUGGUCUCGCGCUAGCCAGGCGACCAGGCGAGGCCAGAUCUGGCCAUUUGACGGCCAGAUCUGGCCCCUGCGACCUCCGGCGGCCAGAUCUGGUGGUUCGGCGACGGCCAGAUCUGGCCGUCCGGCGGUGGCUGGCGGUUGGCCGACAGUAGCCGACCGUCGGAAUUUCAUUUCAGACUUUAAAGAAAAUAAAAAAUAACAAAAGCUAAUUACAAAUGUAAAGUUUGCCAAACGGUGUUUAUGCUAAGUUGCAUUUCCAUGCUAAAAUUUACCAAACGGUGUAACAUUUCCGAAAGCCCCUUUCUCUCAAAGAUAUUUGCAUUUUCCCAAUGACAUUUCCCCAAAGCCGAACCAAAUGGGCCCCGCGCGAGGGAACGCUUCGAACGAGCAUCGGACACACGUGAAUUUUGUGCUUUGUUUUAUAUUCAAAUUGGGACGUAAGACUCAUGUAUAUUCUGGGUGUGGAAAAUAUUGAAACCUGUUCACGAUUGUAAUUCUAAUUUUUCAAUGAUAGUAGAUUAUCAGCUACUACCAACUCUCCCAAUACAGUAUGUACCUAGAUUUUUGACCGAAUAUUGUAAAGUUUAUGGUGUUUUUAAUUGUUCAUUGUUUUAUUUAUCUAGUGAUUUCGAGUUAAUUUAAAUUGUAAUAUCUUGUUAGUUUCUGUAUUAAUUUUACUAUGGAAAGUUCGGUGUCUAUACAUUACCCUUGACAUUCUACUUGUAAUCUAAAAAUGAAUAAUUACUAUAAAUUUUUAAACCUAUUAUUUGGAUAUCAAUUCAGUCAUUAAUUUUUUAAUUUAAUUAAUUUAGUUUUAAAUCUUUUGAUGAAUUGACAAUUUACUUAUUCCACCUAUAAUCGCUAACAUGGACAAAAUCAAACGUAUUGAUCUUUAAAAAAUCAUUUCAUGGAAGUCCUUUCCUUAAAAACAAUGACACCCUCCAGAUUGCUUUGGUUCUUCACAUUUUCGCGCUAGUCAAAACAGUGAUCUUUCAAACCAGUUCAUUUAAAGGCCACGGCACGGUAAAGGAAGAUCCAUUUACAUCGACGUCUUAGAGAGUAAUAGAAUGAAAUUUUAUACCAAUAGAUUCAGCAGAGAACAUGUCCUCCGAAAGAAUAACAGAGCAUUCGCACCCAAAAGUGCAGUAAGCGGGAAACUACUAGCUUCUGUUUCCCCACCAUUGCUACCAGAAAACAACCCCAUGCCCCUUCUUAUACGAGACACAUUUGCACUCAAAUGUCCUUUGUGUCAUAGCGGCAAUGCAAAGAGAAACGGAAAACGACUUUCAAAACCACGAGACAAGAUAAGACUAGGUCGAUGAAAAAAAAUGUACAGAAAGCUAAAUCAUUCGCGAGAAACCACGACCACUUGUUUCCCGAUGCUGCGACCAGAGAACACCCCGACAAGAGCUGCUGGACCGUUCUCGAGCCCUUCCGCGAUGUCUUCCAUGUACACAAUCUUCCCCUCUUUAAUCUGAGGCAAUACCGUCUCGAGGAACUUCGGGUAGAGAUGAUAGUAAUCAAACAUUGCAAAACCUUCCAUCCGAACCUGCUUCCAGAUAAGGUGCAUCAAGUUGUGUACGCCUUCGUGCUGCUCGAGGUUGUAUUGUGAGAUCAUUCCGCAUACUGUGAUUCGGCCAUGAGGUUUCAUGUUGAGCAGCACGGCAUCAAGCAUCUUUCCACCGACAUUUUCAAAGUAGAUAUCGAUCCCCUCAGGUAAGCAUCUAAACAUUCAAGACAGGAAAAAGUCAACUCUAGUCGGCUUUGGAAUGGGUACACAUUGAAUAUCAUGUACAUAAGUAAUGUGCUCGAUCAUCGUUACUAUAUUCCUAGUUCACCUUUUCAGUGCUGCAUCCAGAUCCAGUUCCUCCUUGUAGUUGAAAGCAUCAUCGAAUCCAAACUUGUUCUUCAGCAAAUCAACCUUUUUCCCAAACAUAACAGCAAGCGAGCAUUUUAAGUAAAGAUAAAAUCGGGAAGAGACAAUUAAGCAAUUCCUAUAUAAGGAAAAACUAGACAAAUGUGAGAUGAUUACCUUCUCUUUGCUACCGGCGCUGCCAACAACAUAACAACCAAACAACUUUGCAAACUGGCCGACAAGCUGACCAACAGCUCCCGAUGCCGCUGAUAUGAAAACAGUAUCUCCUUUCUUAGGAGAGCAUACCUCGAAAAACCCAGCAUAAGCCGUCAGACCUGGCAUACCUGUAAAGUUUGGAUUUAUGCAAAUUAGACAAGUUUCAAGAUUCGCUGGAGCAUAGAAGUAGGAGUGUAAUGCUAUGGCAAAUCUCAAAUGACCCGAUUUAAUUGAUCGAAGGUGAUGCCCCUGUCAAAUGGAUGAGAAAUAAUCAAUUUGGACACUUCUUUCAACACAAAAGACAGCUUUGCAAGGCUCCAUCGUUGAGACAAUUCAACAAGGGCAUACGGCACUUAAACAAGGAUGAUCCCCACAAGUAAAAUUCAAACGAAGCACGCUUUUUCCUUGCAUAAAAGCUGGAGGCUGUCCGUACUUGAGAACCAAAUAGACAGAACAAAGUAUCUUAACGAUUCGAUGCUCCUCAUUAUUUAACACUGAAAGAGAUAUCGCACCAGAUGAUUAAAGAGCAUACCUAGAAGGCCGGUGUAAUAAGACAGAGGAACAUCGGUGUGUUCGAUUUUAAAGCAAGUCUUUGGCGCAGUAAUUAGACUAUACUCCUCCCAUCGAGUGAGGCCCAAAACCAAGUCGCCUUUCUUGAAGUUCGGAUGCCCAGAUUCCAAAACUCUAGCUACCCCAUAUCCAGAAACAGUCUGCAUCAUUGUCUUGGAUACUUCAGAAUAUAAGUGGAACUACAAAUAGCAAACUCGAAUAGACUUUGAGCGUACAAGAAGGAAAGAGUAUGCUUCCUUUGAAUCUACUUGUUGAAUGUAAUUGUCACAAAUUUGAGUUUGGUUUAUGGGUGCGACUUCAUAAAUUACUGUUAGCAUCAUGUGUCGAGUAAACGUGACGAGAGAGAUGGCGGUACUUACAGAGCCGAGCUGAGUCGAGAACUUGAUUAGGUGGAGAUUGUAGGGAUCGCAGGCCAGGUACAAGUUCUUCACCAUGAUGGCCCCCGAAUCCUUGUCGGCCUUCGGUCUCUCCGAGCUCGUCCUCACUUCCAGGUGGGUCUCCUUCAGGGAACCUUGUACCUUCUCUCUGUAAAUCACCUGUUUGUUCCUCAUAACUUCCGCUGAGGCGUUGCUGUUCUCCUUCUCCAUUCUCUCUCUCUCUCUCUCUCUCUCUCUCUG
RNAcentral lists this long non-coding RNA (8020 nucleotides) under Eucalyptus grandis. RNAcentral's name for it is "long non-coding RNA (EGRA_LNC004777)". The record is from RNAcentral. Lineage: Eukaryota; Viridiplantae; Streptophyta; Magnoliopsida; Myrtales; Myrtaceae.